Fragilariopsis cylindrus CCMP1102 is the source of this 72-nucleotide transfer RNA. It matches the Rfam family "tRNA". From Rfam's summary of the family: Transfer RNA (tRNA) molecules are approximately 80 nucleotides in length. Their secondary structure includes four short double-helical elements and three loops (D, anti-codon, and T loops). Further hydrogen bonds mediate the characteristic L-shaped molecular structure. tRNAs have two regions of fundamental functional importance: the anti-codon, which is responsible for specific mRNA codon recognition, and the 3' end, to which the tRNAs corresponding amino acid is attached (by aminoacyl-tRNA synthetases). tRNAs cope with the degeneracy of the genetic code in two manners: having more than one tRNA (with a specific anti-codon) for a particular amino acid; and 'wobble' base-pairing, i.e. permitting non-standard base-pairing at the 3rd anti-codon position. Lineage: Eukaryota; Bacillariophyta; Bacillariophyceae; Bacillariales; Bacillariaceae. The record is from Rfam.
UUCUGUGUGGCGCAAUGGUAGCGCGUCUGACUUCUAAUCAGAAGGUUACGGGUUCGAGUCCCGUCAUGGAAA